UACGGGGGGGGCAAGCGUUGUUCGGAAUUACUGGGCGUAAAGGGCUCGUAGGUGGCCAACUAAGUCAGACGUGAAAUCCCUCAGCUUAACUGGGGAACUGCGUCUGAUACUGGAUGGCUUGAGUUUGGGAGAGGAAUGCGGAAUUCCAGGUGUAGCGGUGAAAUGCGUAGAUAUCUGGAGGAACACCGGUGGCGAAGGCGGCAUUCUGGACCAUAACUGACACUGAGAGACGAAAGCCAGGGGAGCAAACGGG
This 253-nucleotide ribosomal RNA is filed under the name uncultured bacterium. Its description in RNAcentral is "partial 16S ribosomal RNA". It matches the Rfam family "Bacterial small subunit ribosomal RNA", at positions 524 to 776 of the family's 1533-position model. The record is from RNAcentral.